GGAGUUGUUAAUGAUCUACCCCAGCUGCCACAUUGUGGAACAAUACAGAGAUUAGCAUGGCCCCUGCGCAAGGAUGACAUGUAAAACUUUAUGGUUUUCAUAGGUAGUU
Suncus etruscus (white-toothed pygmy shrew) is the source of this 109-nucleotide small nuclear RNA. The record is from RefSeq and is a predicted model, not a curated record. Lineage: Eukaryota; Metazoa; Chordata; Mammalia; Eulipotyphla; Soricidae.